This 507-nucleotide ribosomal RNA is filed under the name uncultured bacterium. RNAcentral's name for it is "partial 16S ribosomal RNA". The record is from RNAcentral.
GGAGUUAGCCGGUGCUUCUUCUGUGAGUGAUGUCCUUCCUGCCGGCUAUUAACCCGCAGGCCUUCUUCCUCACUGAAAGUGCUUUACAACCCGAAGGCCUUCUUCACACACGCGGCAUGGCUGGAUCAGGGUUGCCCCCAUUGUCCAAUAUUCCCCACUGCUGCCUCCCGUAGGAGUCUGGGCCGUGUCUCAGUCCCAGUGUGGCUGAUCAUCCUCUCAGACCAGCUACGGAUCGUCGCCUUGGUGAGCCGUUACCUCACCAACCAGCUAAUCCGACAUAGGCUCAUCCGAUAGCGCGAGGCCCGAAGGUCCCCCGCUUUCCCCCGUAGGGCGUAUGCGGUAUUAGCCUGGGUUUCCCCAGGUUAUCCCCCACUACCGGGCAGAUUCCUAUGCAUUACUCACCCGUCCGCCGCUCGCCACCAGGUAGCAAGCUCCCCGUGCUGCCGCUCGACUUGCAUGUGUUAGGCCUGCCGCCAGCGUUCAAUCUGAGCCAGGAUCAAACUCUGA